CUUGUGUUUCUUAAUUCAAGGGAGUGGUCAGCCAUUUGUGACUUCUAUGUCCAACACGUAUAACUAUCCCACUUUCUGGUCCAUAAAUGAUGCAAAGCAACACAUAUUUAAGUCUACAUUGGCAAUGAGAAGCCUCUGUUACCAUGUUUCAGUUUCAAGCUGUAGGAGUUUGCUAUCGAAGGUCAGCAACCAGAGUUCAAUUCAGGGUCUUUCAGAUUUUCUCUUUGUCUUCUGCUUGAUGCUUGCUGGUGAGUGAAACGAUGAACUCAAAGAACAUAAACGGCGAGUGGUGUGGCCACCUCUCUUAGGUUCUGAGGAAGUAUCAUUCAAAAAAAUAUUAUAUGAAUACCUUAAAAGGGUCUUGGAGAUGCAAAUUCUUGAACAAGAAUAGAAAGAGAUGUGAUCCUAUUGGCUUUCCUGAUGUUCCAGCAAUGUUGGGCGUAACGGUUGAGAAAAGUAUGUGCUAAUUUACUAUUCUAAAUGAAGAGUAAGCAAGAAGAUGUUGAACCGUCACCACUCUCGUCACUCAUUGGAAUUUCAUUCAGGAACCUAACCUAUGCUGAUGAUAUUCGAAUCACGAGCAUCUUGGUUAAUUUCGUCUGACUUCUUUUGAAUUUUGUGCACGGAACCUGUGAUCUUCAUUAUAUAGAAGACACAGAAGAAAAAGACAAGAGCUCAAGAUAUGCCAUUGGGUGCAAUACUUAGGCUGAGGGAGAAAGUCUUAUAGGUUUUAAAGAUGGUGGAGAUUUAGAUCAUUUUCUGCACCCACCUCUCCCCUAACCAGCUCCUCCCUAGUGGUCAAAAUCUGUCAUAUCAAGCCUGUCACCAUCAUCAAUAGGGUUUGGUACUAGGGCAUAGUGAUGGCAACUAAUGAACUGCUUCCCAAUUAAAGACAAAAAACAAAUCGAUUGUUAUGUGUUUGUCCGUUGGAGACGGCUGUUCCCGAGAUGAUACUGAUGUUGCUUUAAGACAAGAGGAAGAAUUUACAUUGAAUGAUUUUUAUCACACUGGUAAAGGAAUGCGUAUGUGAGAGUAUAAAAGAAAAUGAUUAGAAAAAUGGAAUUGAAAGG
Molecule: small RNA, 1070 nt
Filed under: Arabidopsis thaliana (thale cress)
Lineage: Eukaryota; Viridiplantae; Streptophyta; Magnoliopsida; Brassicales; Brassicaceae
Description: unknown gene (AT5G10278)
Source: RNAcentral